RNAcentral lists this ribosomal RNA (816 nucleotides) under Polyporales sp. CP29. Its description in RNAcentral is "eukaryotic LSU rRNA". The stretch from base 269 to 422 matches the Rfam family "5.8S ribosomal RNA". Lineage: Eukaryota; Fungi; Basidiomycota; Agaricomycetes; Polyporales. The record is from RNAcentral.
UUCUUGGUUCCAUUAGAGGAAGUAAAAGUCGUAACAAGGUUUCCGUAGGUGAACCUGCGGAAGGAUCAUUAUCGAGUUUUGACUGGGUUGUAGCUGGCCUUCCGAGGCAUGUGCACGCCCUGCUCAUCCACUCUACACCUGUGCACUUACUGUGGGUUUCAGACGGCGUAGCGAGCCUUUACGGGUUCGUGAAAGCGUCUGUGCCUGCGUUUAUUACAAACUCUUACAAGUAAAUGAAUGUGUAUUGCGAUAUAACGCAUCUAUAUACAACUUUCAGCAACGGAUCUCUUGGCUCUCGCAUCGAUGAAGAACGCAGCGAAAUGCGAUAAGUAAUGUGAAUUGCAGAAUUCAGUGAAUCAUCGAAUCUUUGAACGCACCUUGCGCUCCUUGGUAUUCCGAGGAGCAUGCCUGUUUGAGUGUCAUGAAAUCUUCAACCUAUAAACCUUUGCGGGUUUGUAGGCUUGGACUUGGAGGCUUGUCGGCCUAACGGUCGGCUCCUCUUAAAUGUAUUAGCUUGAUUCCUUGCGGAUCGGCUCUCGGUGUGAUAAUUGUCUACGCCGCGACCGUGAAGCGUUUGGCGAGCUUCUAAUCGUCUCUUAUGAGACAACACAUUGACCUCUGACCUCAAAUCAGGUAGGACUACCCGCUGAACUUAAGCAUAUCAAUAAGCGGAGGAAAAGAAACUAACAAGGAUUCCCCUAGUAACUGCGAGUGAAGCGGGAAAAGCUCAAAUUUAAAAUCUGGCGGUCUUUGGCCGUCCGAGUUGUAGUCUGGAGAAGUGCUUUCCGCGCUGGACCGUGUAAAGUUCUCCCGGAA